This 433-nucleotide ribosomal RNA is filed under the name uncultured bacterium. Its description in RNAcentral is "bacterial SSU rRNA". It matches the Rfam family "Bacterial small subunit ribosomal RNA", at positions 958 to 1392 of the family's 1533-position model. The record is from RNAcentral.
AACGCGAAGAACCUUACCUGGGUUUGACAUACACCAGACGACGGCAGAGAUGUCGUUUCCCUUGUGGUUGGUGUACAGGUGGUGCAUGGCUGUCGUCAGCUCGUGUCGUGAGAUGUUGGGUUAAGUCCCGCAACGAGCGCAACCCUUGUCCUGUAUUGCCAGCGGGUUAUGCCGGGGACUUGCAGGAGACUGCCGGGGUCAACUCGGAGGAAGGUGGGGAUGACGUCAAGUCAUCAUGCCCCUUAUGUCCAGGGCUUCACACAUGCUACAAUGGCGCGUACAGAGGGCUGCGAUACCGUGAGGUGGAGCGAAUCCCUAAAGCGUGUCUCAGUUCGGAUUGGGGUCUGCAACUCGACCCCAUGAAGUCGGAGUCGCUAGUAAUCGCAGAUCAGCAACGCUGCGGUGAAUACGUUCCCGGGUCUUGUACACACCG